AGAGUUGAUCCUGGCUCAGGAUGAACGCUAGCGGCAGGCUUAACACAUGCAAGUCGAGGGGUAUAGUUCUUCGGAACUAGAGACCGGCGCACGGGUGCGUAACGCGUAUGCAAUCUACCUUUUACAGAGGGAUAGCCCAGAGAAAUUUGGAUUAAUACCUCAUAGUAUAAUGAGUUGGCAUCAACACAUUAUUAAAGUCACAACGGUAAAAGAUGAGCAUGCGUCCCAUCAGCUUGUUGGUAAGGUAACGGCUUACCAAGGCAACGAUGGGUAGGGGUCCUGAGAGGGAGAUCCCCCACACUGGUACUGAGACACGGACCAGACUCCUACGGGAGGCAGCAGUGAGGAAUAUUGGACAAUGGGCGCAAGCCUGAUCCAGCCAUGCCGCGUGCAGGAUGACGGUCCUAUGGAUUGUAAACUGCUUUUGUACAGGAAGAAACACUACUUCGUGAAGUAGCUUGACGGUACUGUAAGAAUAAGGAUCGGCUAACUCCGUGCCAGCAGCCGCGGUAAUACGGAGGAUCCAAGCGUUAUCCGGAAUCAUUGGGUUUAAAGGGUCCGUAGGCGGUUUAGUAAGUCAGUGGUGAAAGCCCAUCGCUCAACGGUGGAACGGCCAUUGAUACUGCUAAACUUGAAUUAUUAGGAAGUAACUAGAAUAUGUAGUGUAGCGGUGAAAUGCUUAGAGAUUACAUGGAAUACCAAUUGCGAAGGCAGGUUACUACUAAUGGAUUGACGCUGAUGGACGAAAGCGUGGGUAGCGAACAGGAUUAGAUACCCUGGUAGUCCACGCCGUAAACGAUGGAUACUAGCUGUUGGAAGCAAUUUCAGUGGCUAAGCGAAAGUGAUAAGUAUCCCACCUGGGGAGUACGUUCGCAAGAUGAACUCAAGGAUUGACGG
This 897-nucleotide ribosomal RNA is filed under the name uncultured bacterium. RNAcentral's name for it is "bacterial SSU rRNA". It matches the Rfam family "Bacterial small subunit ribosomal RNA", at positions 8 to 916 of the family's 1533-position model. The record is from RNAcentral.